GUGAAGGAUGAAGUAUUUCGGUAUGUAAACUUCUAUCAGCAGGGAAGAAAAUGACGGUACCUGACUAAGAAGCCCCGGCUAACUACGUGCCAGCAGCCGCGGUAAUACGUAGGGGGCAAGCGUUAUCCGGAUUUACUGGGUGUAAAGGGAGCGUAGACGGCACGGCAAGCCAGAUGUGAAAGCCCGGGGCUCAACCCCGGGACUGCAUUUGGAACUGCUGAGCUAGAGUGUCGGAGAGGCAAGUGGAAUUCCUAGUGUAGCGGUGAAAUGCGUAGAUAUUAGGAGGAACACCAGUGGCGAAGGCGGCUUGCUGGACGAUGACU
This 323-nucleotide ribosomal RNA is filed under the name uncultured bacterium. Its description in RNAcentral is "bacterial SSU rRNA". It matches the Rfam family "Bacterial small subunit ribosomal RNA", at positions 401 to 741 of the family's 1533-position model. The record is from RNAcentral.